CCUACGGGGGGCAGCAGUGAGGAAUAUUGGUCAAUGGACGCAAGUCUGAACCAGCCAUGCCGCGUGCAGGAAGACUGCUCUAUGAGUUGUAAACUGCUUUUGUACGAGGGUAAACGCAGAUACGCGUAUCUGUCUGAAAGUAUCGUACGAAUAAGGAUCGGCUAACGCCGUGCCAGCAGCCGCGGUAAUACGGAGGAUUCAAGCGUUAUCCGGAUUUAUUGGGUUUAAAGGGUGCGUUGGGGGGCGGAUAAGUUAGAGGUGAAAUUCCGAGGCUCAACUUCGGAAUUGCCUCUGAUACUGUUCGGCUAGAGAGUAGUUGAGGUAGGCGGAAUGUAUGGUGUAGCGGUGAAAUGCUUAGAGAUCAUACAGAACACCGAUUGCGAAGGCAGCUUACCAAGCUACUACUGACGUUGAGGCACGAAAGCGUGGGUAGCAAACAGGAUUAGAUACCCGAGUAGUC
Molecule: ribosomal RNA, 460 nt
Filed under: uncultured bacterium
Lineage: Bacteria
Description: partial 16S ribosomal RNA
Rfam family: Bacterial small subunit ribosomal RNA
Source: RNAcentral